CCUACGGGUGGCAGCAGUGGGGAAUAUUGCGCAAUGGGCGCAAGCCUGACCCAGCAACGCCGCGUGAACGAAGAAGGCUUUCGGGUUGUAAACUUCUUUUCUCAGGGACGAAGCAAGUGACGGUACCUGAGGAAUAAGCCACGGCUAACUACGGGCAAGCAGCCGCGGUAAUACGUAGGGGGCAAGCGUUAUGCGGAUUUACUGGGUGUAAAGGGCGUGUAGGCGGGAAAGCAAGUCUGAUGUGAAAACCAUGGGCUCAACCUGUGGCCUGCAUUUGAUACUGUUUUUCUUGAGUGCUGGAGAGGCAGACGGAAUUCCUGGUGUAGCGGUGAAAUGCGUAGAUAUUAGGAGGAACACCAGUGGCGAAGGCGGUCUGCUGGGCAGCAACUGACGCUGAGGCGCGAAAGCGUGGGGAGCAAACAGGAUUAGAUACCCCUGUAGUC
This 443-nucleotide ribosomal RNA is filed under the name uncultured bacterium. RNAcentral describes it as "partial 16S ribosomal RNA". It matches the Rfam family "Bacterial small subunit ribosomal RNA", at positions 338 to 795 of the family's 1533-position model. The record is from RNAcentral.